RNAcentral lists this long non-coding RNA (245 nucleotides) under Gossypium raimondii (Peruvian cotton). Its description in RNAcentral is "long non-coding RNA (GRAI_LNC000831)". The record is from RNAcentral. Lineage: Eukaryota; Viridiplantae; Streptophyta; Magnoliopsida; Malvales; Malvaceae.
UGUUUUUUUGUGUGAUUUUUUUAUAUUUUUUGCUACAUUUUAUAAUGUUGUUUUGCUGUUGUUUUUAAUAUUAUUUGGUUAUUGUAGAACUUAUGUUUUAUUAUUAAUUUUGCUACUGUUUUAGUUGCAACUAUCUUAAUAUAAAGAAUUUUUAAUAUAUUUUCAAAUUGUUGUUGUUUUAACAUUUGUUUUAAUAUUUUUAAGUGUAUUUGAUAUUAUAUAUAUAUAUAUAUAUUAAAUUUGUU